Mangifera indica (mango) is the source of this 1843-nucleotide RNA transcript. It is a transcript of the gene named probable inactive purple acid phosphatase 29, with no coding region annotated. NCBI's taxonomy places the organism in Eukaryota, Viridiplantae, Streptophyta, Magnoliopsida, Sapindales, Anacardiaceae. The record is from RefSeq and is a predicted model, not a curated record. The transcript has 5 exons.
UUGGGUGAGAAAUGUUAUUUACUCCGGGAUUUCUUAUCAACGGGUAGUAGAUAAAUGAGUUUGCUCUGAUGCGGUCAAGGAUCAUUUAUGAUCUUCGAUUAACACAGCCACCUUCUGAAUCCAUAGUUGAGAUUAUAAAUAAGCUUGUUUGUGGUCGGCAAUAACAGCGUAAAAGAUGAUGAUGAAUAAGGAGAGACCACCUGUUGUUUCCCAUCUGAGUGUGAUUGUGCUAUUAGUUUUAGUGCAUUUUAAACCAAUCUCGGGCGAUCAGAAGCUGCGGUUCGGACAAGAUGGGCGGUUUAAGGUCCUGCAAGUGGCUGAUAUGCAUUAUGCGGAUGGAAAGACCACGCCUUGUUUGGAUGUUCUUCCUACCCAGGUCGCUGGUUGCUCUGACCUCAAUACUACCGCAUUUCUCAACCGCAUGAUUUUAGCUGAGAGGCCGGAUCUUAUUGUCUUCACUGGUGAUAACAUUUUCGGAUUUGAUGCCACAGACGCAGCAAAAUCUUUGAAUGCUGCAUUUGCCCCAGCCAUUGCAUCAAACAUCCCAUGGGUUGCUGUUUUGGGGAACCACGACCAGCAAUCCACCCUGUCAAGAGGAGGAGUAAUGAAACAUAUUGUUACAUUGAAGAACACUUUGUCUCAAGUCAAUCCUCCAGAGGCACGAAUUAUUGAUGGUUUUGGGAACUAUAACUUGGAGAUUGGUGGGGUUGAAGGUUCAAGUUUUGAAAACAAAUCAGUUCUCAAUCUCUACUUCCUUGAUAGCGGAGAUUACUCAACGGUUCCUGCUAUUGGUGGCUAUGGAUGGAUCAAACCUUCCCAGCAACUUUGGUUUGAACGUACUUCUGCCAAGCUUCGGAGGGAAUACAUGAGCAAGCCAGCUGCUCAGAAAACAGCUGCACCUGGGCUUGCAUACUUUCACAUACCAUUGCCUGAAUAUGCGAGUUUUGAUUCAUCAAACUUCACAGGUGUUAAGCAAGAAGGCAUAAGCUCUGCUUCUGUUAACUCAGGCUUCUUCACAACCAUGGUAGCUGCAGGCGAUGUGAAGGCUGUUUUCACUGGCCAUGAUCACAUCAAUGACUUUUGUGGUCAGCUUACCGGUAUACAACUUUGUUAUGGAGGGGGUUUUGGAUACCAUGCCUACGGAAAGGCGGGAUGGGAAAGGAGGGCAAGGGUGGUAGUAGCCAAUUUGGAGAAAGUAGAGGAGGGAGGUUGGGGAGCUGUCAAGUCAAUCAAAACAUGGAAACGCCUCGAUGAUGGACACCUCACUGCUGUUGACAAUCGGGUCCUCUGGAGCAAGAGCUCUUCAGGGCCUUCAGUUCAUGAUCAAAAUAAUUUAUUUCAAUGUGGAACAAGCAUUCUUCAAGUCUACUGAAUCAUGUUCCAUGCUAUAGAGCCACUGCCACACCAUGAUAGUUUUAGGUUUCAUUUGGGUGGCCAAGGCCUAAAUGCUACUUCAUUCUUAUUCACCUUUUAUUGGUAAUCGCAGAAAGAAAACUAUUCAUGGUGCUUGAGCGGCUUGGUGCAUAACAAAACUGUUCAUGUGCAUCCUUGACGCUAGCUUAAGCUAUGGAGAAGGGAAGAUGGUUUCCAGAAAAUUUCAAUGGGAAUGUUGCCAUUGGCAUUGUUGUUUAAUAACAUCUAUCUGUACCCUUUAAUAAUUGUGUCGAAUGCGGUGAAUUGUCUACAGAUCUCAGAAUUUCAGAAUAGCAUAGUUGUAAUAUAUGAUUAAGUAGCAAACUAGGUUAUGAUGUGAAUCAUAUGAUGGGAGAAAUAGUGUAUUGUUCCCUGAAUGUUGCCGGAGAGCUAUUGAAUGAAUAAAGAUGAGCAUAAGUGUUGUUUUGUA